AUAAACUGUGUUUGAUUAUGACCAUGACCUAAUUAAUUAAAUUAUAGAUCACAAACUUUUGUCAGGAAUCACAAAAUGUGACCAAUCUUUUAUUAGGGAUCAUAAAACUGAUCACCUAAUUUUUGAAAAAAAAAAAAAAAAAAUUCCACAAAUUUAAUGUUUUUUAAAAAUGCAACUUGAAAUAUUAGUAUUUAUAUAAUUUUCCCAGAAUUAUAUGAGGUAAUCAGGAUGUCGAGUAUUGUUGAAAAAGUAAAUGCAGAAACCGAAUUUUCUAUGCCGUUUGCUAACUGCUAGCCAAUUAGGAAUGUUGAAAUUAUCCAUGUUCUUGGAAAAUGGAUAUGUCCCACUGUUUCUAGAUGUACUCGUUUGCGCCUUGUAUCACAAUGGAAUCUACGAACUUCACACGCAGAGACUUGACGCUAUAUAACACUCACCAUCAUCACAGCCUUUUCCCAUAAUCUUAUGUGACUACUUCAGAUACACACAUCAAAAGAAAUAUCAAAUUGUAUCAAAGUUCGACUUCUACACUACAUUAGAAGAGCUAUGAACAAAUACGAUCAACACGAAGCUUCUGGUAAGCAUUACAUCAACUUUGUUUCCUUCGUCUUCUUAAGUAAAUUUCAAGAAAAAACUUGACUCUGCGAGGCUUGCUUUAGUUUCUAAUGGUUGUUCUACCCUCAUAAUUAAUUUGAACCGUCUUAACUGUUGCACAUCCAGCACCACCACCUUCAUAUGCUCCGGGAACACAAGGUAACCUUGAUGGCCCAUAUGUGAUGGCACCUCCACCAGUGGGUUAUCCUACAAAGGAUGGUGAUAAUAGAGGGGAUGCCCCUGUAGAGACGACAACCAGAGGCGAUGGCUUCUUGAAAGGAUGGUAAGAUUUCUAAUUCUUGACUCUGAUAAUCUAUAGGCAGUCUAUCUUGAAACCACGUUUCCCAAUUUUGCAACGAUUGUUCUUUCAGUCUAGCCGGUCUUUGCUGCUGCUGGUGCCUGGAUAUUUGCUUCUGAUGACGACAAAUGACUAUUCUUUCCUUAUUUGGGCUAUGUAAUACCUGCUGUGUUCUAUGUAGUGUUCAUUUCAUUAUUUUACACUAGUAAUAAAUUUAAAAUAAUUCAUAAUUUCCAAGUACGUUUUUUCUAAGUAGACACGAGUAAAUCUGUUCUCUGCAAGGCUCCAGCAAUUAGGCUGCAGUUCUUGUACGGCUUCUCAUUGAACAUGACUAUAAAAGGAGUAACUUGGAAUUCUCUCUAUAACGUAGAGCUUGUUCCAAAAAAAUUUAAGAAUUUUAUGAUGCAAUUAACAUUGGGACACUGAGAAGUCCCUCUUUGGUUUAAAAAUAGGAGCAAGAUUAAUUUAAGCCUAUUUGAUCCCCAUUUUUCGAAGUAAAAAUUGGUGGAAUAGUGUUUUUUAUGAAAAAUGAAUGGUUGAAAAAGAAGUAAAAAUUUUCGAUUUACGUGUAAUAUUAUUUUAUGAAAGAUUGUAUGGUUGAAAAUAGAAGAGAGAAAAAUGAAAUGUAAUGUAAUUUAAUGUAAUGAGGGCUAAACAGGGGCUUAAGAGGCCUGCUAUGAAAUUCAUUAGACUUUUUCUAACAGGCUACCAGGCAACCCUGGGAGCCGCCCACUUCCAACCCUAAGCAUCACACCAACCCAACACCGACCACCAACCCUCCGACCCCAAAAUCACACAACUCAAGUCCCUCAAAAGCAAUAAUAUCUUAAGAUUGUUACAUAUCAAGUAAUAUAAAUCCAAAUUUAGAGAGAGAUGGUAGAGUUUCCACACAAACACAAAUGUUACCUGCUAAACUCGGUUGCGUAUCAUAAUGGAAAAGCCACAAGUACGGGGUUUUUCCUGCCAGACUACCUACAGGUGAUCGGCAGUUUUCAUUUUUUUUUCCCAUUUGCCAAUGAGAAAUGGACAGUUGGUUACCUUUACAAAGCCUGUGAAACUUUCUCGUAGCAAGACUCAUCAUAAAACCAUAAUUUGAUAAAUACAAAUUUUACAGAUG
This 2006-nucleotide long non-coding RNA is filed under the name Olea europaea subsp. europaea. Lineage: Eukaryota; Viridiplantae; Streptophyta; Magnoliopsida; Lamiales; Oleaceae. The record is from RNAcentral.